UGGGGAAUAUUGGACAAUGGGCGAAAGCCUGAUCCAGCCAUGCCGCGUGUGUGAAGAAGGUCUUCGGAUUGUAAAGCACUUUAAGUUGGGAGGAAGGGCAUUAACCUAAUACGUUAGUGUUUUGACGUUACCGACAGAAUAAGCACCGGCUAACUCUGUGCCAGCAGCCGCGGUAAUACAGAGGGUGCAAGCGUUAAUCGGAAUUACUGGGCGUAAAGCGCGCGUAGGUGGUUUGUUAAGUUGGAUGUGAAAUCCCCGGGCUCAACCUGGGAACUGCAUUCAAAACUGACUGACUAGAGUAUGGUAGAGGGUGGUGGAAUUUCCUGUGUUGCGGUGAAAUGCGUAGAUAUAGGAAGGAACACCAGUGGCGAAGGCGACCACCUGGACUAAUACUGACACUGAGGUGCGAAAGCGUGGGGAGCAAACA
This 427-nucleotide ribosomal RNA is filed under the name uncultured bacterium. RNAcentral describes it as "partial 16S ribosomal RNA". It matches the Rfam family "Bacterial small subunit ribosomal RNA", at positions 355 to 774 of the family's 1533-position model. The record is from RNAcentral.